CUACGGGGGGCAGCAGUGAGGAAUAUUGCACAAUGGAGGAAACUCUGAUGCAGCAACGCCGCGUGGAGGAUGACGCAUUUCGGUGUGUAAACUCCUUUUAUAUGUCAAGAAAAUGACGGUAGCAUAUGAAUAAGCUCCGGCUAACUCCGUGCCAGCAGCCGCGGUAAUACGGAGGGAGCAAGCGUUACUCGGAAUCACUGGGCGUAAAGGACGCGUAGGCGGGAUAGAAAGUCAGGUGUGAAAUCCUACAGCUUAACUGUAGAACUGCACUUGAAACUUCUAAUCUAGAGUAUGGGAGGGGGAGAUGGAAUUAGUGGUGUAGGGGUAAAAUCCGUAGAUAUCACUAGGAAUACCUAAAGCGAAGGCGAUCUCCUGGAACAUUACUGACGCUAAGGCGUGAAAGCGUGGGGAGCAAACAGGAUUAGAUACCCCUGUAGUC
This 439-nucleotide ribosomal RNA is filed under the name uncultured bacterium. RNAcentral describes it as "partial 16S ribosomal RNA". It matches the Rfam family "Bacterial small subunit ribosomal RNA", at positions 339 to 795 of the family's 1533-position model. The record is from RNAcentral.